This 1196-nucleotide ribosomal RNA is filed under the name uncultured organism. RNAcentral's name for it is "bacterial SSU rRNA". It matches the Rfam family "Bacterial small subunit ribosomal RNA". The record is from RNAcentral.
CUGGCGGCGUGCCUAACACAUGCAAGUCGAACAAGAAAGGGACUUCGGUCCUGAGUACAGUGGCGCACGGGUGAGUAACACGUGACUAACCUACCCUCGAGUGGGGAAUAACUUCGGGAAACCGAGGCUAAUACCGCAUAAUACCCACGGGUCAAAGGAGCAAUUCGCUUGAGGAGGGGGUCGCGGCCGAUUAGCUAGUUGGCGGGGUAAUGGCCCACCAAGGCAGUGAUCGGUAUCCGGCCUGAGAGGGCGCACGGACACACUGGAACUGAAACACGGUCCAGACUCCUACGGGAGGCAGCAGUGGGGAAUUUUGCGCAAUGGGGGAAACCCUGACGCAGCAACGCCGCGUGGAGGAUGAAGUCUCUUGGGACGUAAACUCCUUUCGAUCGGAACGAUUAUGACGGUACCGGAAGAAGAAGCCCCGGCUAACUUCGUGCCAGCAGCCGCGGUAAUACGAGGGGGGCGAGCGUUGUUCGGAAUUAUUGGGCGUAAAGGGUGCGUAGGCGGUUCGGUAAGUUUGAUGUGAAAUCUUCGGGCUCAACUCGAAGUCUGCAUCGAAAACUGCCGGGCUUGAGUGUGGGAGAGGUGAGUGGAAUUUCCGGUGUAGCGGUGAAAUGCGUAGAUAUCGGAAGGAACACCUGUGGCGAAAGCGGCUCACUGGACCACAACUGACGCUGAUGCACGAAAGCUAGGGGAGCAAACAGGAUUAGAUACCCUGGUAGUCCUAGCCCUAAACGAUGAUCGCUUGGUGUGGCGGGUACACAAUCUUGCCAGUUGCUACCAUUUAGUUGAGCACUGUGGUGAGACCGCCUCGGAUAACGGGGAGGAAGGUGGGGAUGACGUCAAGUCCUCAUGGCCUUUAUGUCCAGGGCUACACACGUGCUACAAUGGCCGGUACAAACCGCCGCAAACCCGCGAGGGGGAGCUAAUCGGAAAAAGCCGGCCUCAGUUCGGAUUGUAGUCUGCAACUCGACUACACGAAGCUGGAAUCGCUAGUAAUCGCGGAUCAGCAUGCCGCGGUGAAUACGUUCCCGGGCCUUGUACACACCGCCCGUCACAUCACGAAAGUGGGUCGUACUAGAAGCGGGUGAGCCAACCGUAAGGAGGCAGCCUUCCAAGGUGUGAUUCAUGAUUGGGGUGAAGUCGUAACAAGGUAGCCGUAGGAGAACCUGCGGCUGGAUCACCUCCUUUCU